AAUAAGUUGGCUGAGAUAUUUAGGUUGUAAAUUGUAAAUUUACUUAGGGUUAUUACCUCUUAUUG
RNAcentral lists this transfer RNA (65 nucleotides) under Stethoconus japonicus. RNAcentral describes it as "tRNA-Tyr". Lineage: Eukaryota; Metazoa; Arthropoda; Insecta; Hemiptera; Miridae. The record is from RNAcentral.